Molecule: long non-coding RNA, 2492 nt
Filed under: Rattus norvegicus (Norway rat)
Lineage: Eukaryota; Metazoa; Chordata; Mammalia; Rodentia; Muridae
Description: long non-coding RNA NONRATT028831
Source: RNAcentral
AUAAAUAGAAUCACAUGCCUUCAAGGCUUAGAACGUAUGGAUCAUGGAUCAGAGAUAGGAUAAUUAAAUCCAUAACUGCUCAAAAAAGAAUUUCUGGAACCUAAACACUACUUUUAAUAUUUAAAUGAAUGCAAAUGAGCGCAUUCUGCAUUUUGGACCACUAGAAUUUAAUAAAUGUGAAAUGACCCUUUUUAAAGAGUAUUUGCACAACUACAUAAAGUUUAUAUAUAGGAUAUAUAUUAUAUAUAUAUACAUUUUAUAAAUUUAUCCAAUAUGAAAUAUGUUUGAUCUGGUUGUCACACUGCAUAGAAAUAUUUAGUACUGUACCUUAAAUUAAAUCACUUUGUAUUUGACCAAACCCAACUUUCGUUUUCUCUCCCAAGAGACCAUUUGUAUACCUUUGUGACAUGAACUGAUACUCUCAUGUUCAGUGACAGCUCAACUUAACUCCUUUCCCAGCCCUGUAGACACUGGUCUCUGAAAAAAAUACAUUUCACAAGCAAAGCAAAUGCAUUAAAAACCUUCCUUUCUUGUUGUGAAACAAUCACACAGGGUCUGGUCCCCUUGAACUUUCAUGAAUGACUGCUAAGUAUGGUAAUUCCUCUGCAGAGCCAGUCAGUUACAGAGAAGCUAGGGAGAACUUAACACUCUCACGUUGGCAAUGAUGCUAUCUCCCAGCACCUCUCAGCUUCUCAUGGCCAGAUUAGUCCAGGUUGAUGUGUCCGGACCACCCUUCUGUGCACCUGUAUUUGAAGCCUUACCAGGAACCAGAUCGGCUUGAUGCUAGAGCCUCCCUGUGAAUCCUCACCAAGCUGUCACAGCCUCCAACACUGCCACUCUCUUUUAUAGAGAACUGAUCCUACCAUGGUGGUCCAGUUUUCCCCUUCACUGCCCUGCAUUUGAAAGAUCAGUUUCGAAGUCCCAGGAAACAUUGUUCAGCUUGCAGAUUAAGCCUGGAACUCACCUAUCAGAAACCACAGUCUAGCCGGCUUAGCUCGCCUGUAAGUUCUCCUGGACUGCUGGUGGGGCAGAGGCUCAUCUGGUGACCUGGUUUCUUCUCCCGCUAACUCUGCAUAUAUGAGUUAUCCACUGUUUUGAAUAGUCUGGAGAUCUUGGGCUCUGCCAUAGUAGCAACCUGCUGUUAAUUUUCAGCAGGGGUUUUUGUUUGAAAGGGGCCUUAUUAGAAAAUAUGUCUUUCAUUUACUUGUCAAGUGUUUAUAUUCCUUGCUUGCUUACUUUAUGGCUGGUAGCUUAAUCAAAAGUGCCAGCACAUGGCAAUCAGAUAGAACAGGCUGUGUUCAAGACAACUUUUGGCAUUUACUUUAACCCUUAUAUAAUUUAUUUCUAUUUUGUGCAUACUAUAGUCCUGUGCAUAUAUAGGUGAACAUGCAAUGGAAUAUAUGUCUCUCUUUGUGGAUGUGUGGCCUAAAAAAAAAAUCUGAAUGUCAGAGCAAAGAACAGCUCUCUCUCCAUCUAACCAGUGCCCACGGUUUGUUUGCUCUUGUGUUUAUCUGGCCUAGUGCACUGUUACUUUGAAACAGGGAGAAGUUUUGCCUUCUGGAGGUUCUGGCAUGUCAGAGAACACUUAGCCUGUGACUGUGUCCUUUUAUAAAGUUUACUUCAUCCGCAGUAAAUUCAGCUGCCUCAAGAACUCUUGCAGGGGGACGGACUUUGAAAAGUUGAAUGGAGCGCUUGCGCUCUUUGGUACAGUUAGACUGUUUUGAUCUGGGUCCAAAAAACCACAAGGAUGGGCGGCAUAUUCAAGCCAAGAAGGAAGUGAAAUGAAACGUGAACAUACUGGGUUUUUUUCCCCACCCCUUCUGUUUGCUGACGUUGGUUGCUUUACUGUGCAUAUCCUUGUUUUAAUGCAAUGCUUGUUAAAUAAAUAUUGUGAACUCUUUUGUAAAUGAAAUGUAUUAUGUUAAAAGCUGUCAGCAGCUGUCCAAAAAUAAGCUUUUGUUGUGAAAGAAAAAUGUGUGUUAGAUAAAAAACAAAACAAAAAAGCCAAAAAAAAAAUCCUGUUUUCAUAUAUAGCAUCUAUUUGAAUAUACUCUUUCUUUAAUAAUUUCUUUUAGCAUCACCAUUUCAGUGCUGUGGAGGGAUCUCCGUGUCACGUGUUGUCAUGGUAAUGACUUGCUGAGAUAAAAGUGAUAACCUUACAAAGUGGGCGGUGGCGAGGGGCUUGGGAAUGCUUGCUGCAAGGCUUCACAGAAUGUAAGAGGCUAUGUUUACUGUUGACUCUCUCUCCCACCUCCCUACAACCAUUGCCUGCUCUGAGUUGUCCUACUACAGCAAGCUGCACCCUGGGUCACUCUUGGAAUGUUUUGACAAUUGUGUGUCACAGGCGGUAAAAGGAGUUGACGGAAAAUGGACUCUUUAAAACUGACAUGUUCGUAUCAGUGCUAGAGGGAACAGAUUGUGAAUUUUGUUUACAGCAUCCAAUAUUUGGAUUUUUGUUUUUGUAAAUAAAAAGAAGUUAUUUUUUUCUAUUG